GCAGUCGUGCGAGAAAACCCCUUCGGGGGUGAGUACAGCGGCGGACGGGUGAGUAACACGUGAGCGAUCUACCCGGUGGCGGGGGACAACCCAGGGAAACCUGGACUAAUACCGCAUACAGCGGAGGGAGUAGGUGCCCUUCGUGAAAGCUGGCCUCUCCAUGGAAGCUAGCGUCGCCGGAGGAGCUCGCGGCCUAUCAGCUUGUUGGUGGGGUAAAGGCCUACCAAGGCGAUGACGGGUAGCUGACGUGAGAGCGUGACCAGCCACACUGGGACUGAGACACGGCCCAGACUCCUACGGGAGGCAGCAGUGGGGAAUAUUGCGCAAUGGGCGAAAGCCUGACGCAGCGACGCCGCGUGGGGGAGGAAGGCCCUAGGGUUGUAAACCCCUGUCAGGUGGGACGAACCCUGGGUCGACGAAUAGUUGGCUCAGCUGACGGUACCAUCAGAGGAAGCUCCGGCUAACUCCGUGCCAGCAGCCGCGGUAAUACGGAGGGAGCAAGCGUUGUUCGGAAUCACUGGGCGUAAAGCGCGCGUAGGCGGCCGAGUAAGUCGUAUGUGAAAGCCCGGGGCUCAACUCCGGUAUUGCAUGCGAUACUGCCCG
Molecule: ribosomal RNA, 603 nt
Filed under: uncultured bacterium
Lineage: Bacteria
Description: bacterial SSU rRNA
Rfam family: Bacterial small subunit ribosomal RNA
Source: RNAcentral